This 224-nucleotide ribosomal RNA is filed under the name uncultured bacterium. RNAcentral's name for it is "partial 16S ribosomal RNA". It matches the Rfam family "Bacterial small subunit ribosomal RNA", at positions 28 to 253 of the family's 1533-position model. The record is from RNAcentral.
GACGAACGCUGGCGGCGUGCUUAACACAUGCAAGUCGAGCGGUAAGGCCCUUUCGGGGUACGACGAGCGGCGAACGGGUGAGUAACACGUGGGUGACCUGCCCUCAGCUCUGGGAUAAGCCUGGGAAACCGGGUCUAAUACCGGAUAUGACUCCAUGACGCAUGUUGUGGGGUGGAAAGCCUUGUGCGGCUGAGGAUGGGCCCGCGGCCUAUCAGCUUGUUGGU